GGUUGACCAAAGAUGAGAAGCAACAUGUCGCUGAUUUGACAAAGAGACAUGUACCCCCUAGACACAUAUUGCUUUCCUUGCAAGAGCGAGAUCCUGAGAAUGUCACUCGGAUUACGCAAGUAUACAAGCAUAAGAGUGUGAUACAAAAAAAGAUAAGAGGUCCUAGGAGUGAGAUACAACAUCUGUUUAAGCUUAUUGAGGAUG
Molecule: long non-coding RNA, 204 nt
Filed under: Lathyrus oleraceus (garden pea)
Lineage: Eukaryota; Viridiplantae; Streptophyta; Magnoliopsida; Fabales; Fabaceae
Description: Pisum sativum (pea) long non-coding RNA (PSAT_LNC018570)
Source: RNAcentral